RNAcentral lists this long non-coding RNA (10950 nucleotides) under Homo sapiens (human). Its description in RNAcentral is "PREDICTED lncRNA (TCONS_00172842)". The record is from RNAcentral. Lineage: Eukaryota; Metazoa; Chordata; Mammalia; Primates; Hominidae.
UUCAGUGUGUGGGUAUAAAACAUAUUUAUUAUUGUGGGUUUUGGCCAAAAGAAGCUUGAGAAACACGGGUUUCCAUGAUUCCUUUUGCCUGGAGUACUGAAGCUUAGUGCCGCCCUCCAAUGGAUUUUCAACAGCCUGUUGGAGCCCCACUUCCUUGAAAAGUUUUCACAUGAUUUUCUUUAGCCAGAGUGCAAAACCUGUGGAAGCCAUGGGUACGUUUUAAACAAGGGAGUGAUGAGAUGUGAUUUACAUUCUAAGAACAGGCGCUCCUGUGAAGAGGAAGCCUCAGGAGGGAGUGAGAGCAGAAGGGAGCCCACCUGUGGUUGUCUCAGCAACAGCAGAAGAACCUGGGCCGCUGGGAGUGGAGUUGGAGAGAAACAGGUUGAUUUGGAAGUUCUUCUGCAGGUAGAACGGAAAGGCGAAUUCUGCAAGAUGCUCUGGGGUCCACUGAGCUCAGCUGCUGAGGCUCAGCUCUUUCUGUGGCUUCUUCUUGAGCAGCCUGUUGACCAAGAUGUGGCCCAUGCCACUCCCUAUAUUCGGAGUCCAUUUUCUGAUGCCCUCUCUCAGCUCUUCGCCUGCACUCAUCUGUGACUGCCUGGUACUGCUAGGAAGCCUCUGUUUGUGUCUCAUCUCUCCAGGUGGACUGGAGCUCCUGGGGGUCCUUUCCUUUGUGGGGGUUCUCAAUAUCAGAAUGGAGUCGCUUAUGUCAAACCCUAACAAAAUGGAGGUGGAGGUCACGAAUUGGAGCCUAUAUGCGUGCCUGUAACAGGACUUGUCACAAGGAAUCCCUGCACAUAUGUGUAUGAUGGGGACUAUGCCAGGAACUCCUCACAUAUGGAGGAUUCGAGAUAGACUGGGAGCUCCAUGAGGUCCGAGACAACCUGAAGACGCCCAGCUCAGCAGAGACUGGCUACGGCAAUCACUCAGUAACUAUUUGUUGAAUUGGACAUAAUAGAAGAGCUGAAGAAUUUUAAACAAGUCACCAUCAGUGCAGUGGAUUCCUCAAAGCAAACCUGGAAAUCUCGGCAUGAGUUGGAUUUAAGGCAGUACAUUUUCAGCUCCUGAAAAUUUGAACAGUUUCUCAAGAGAACAACUUGAAACAGAAAGGCAAGGAUGUAGAUGUGGUUGUAGAAGAUGAUGUCUGCGGCCACCAAACUGUCCACUGUGAAGACAAACCAUGCAUGUUUAGUAGGCAGUGGCUCCUCUUCCCUGUGGGGAGUCCCACUGCUUCCCUGGCCUGGGUGUUCUCUGCCGGUAGAUGUUAUUGACAAAAUAAGCAAAGUCCUCUGAUUCUGAGAAUUAGAGUUAAUGAUAGCUCUAGAUUGCCUCUGCCAUGCUAUUUAAAGUCCUGCUUUAUUGUCUGACAUGAGUUCGGCAUCUAUGAGGACUUGUCCAGUGCAAAGUACAAUCUCCACUGAAAGAUAUCACCAGCACAUCUUGUCACUGUGCUGUAGCAAGCUGGGCAGUACAAUGAUGUUGGCAGGAUCCUGUUUAGGUGGAGGAUGGCCACCUGGGCAUCAAGAAUCUUCUACCCUGAUUCCACAUUGACUCCCCAAAGUGGGCUUCAGACAGCUCUUUACUUACGUCUUCUGAUUAAAGCAGCAGACAGGGUCCCAGCUAGAGAAAAGUUCUGGGAGCAGGAGAGGUGUUGGUGGCUUUAAAACCAGGGGUGAAGAUUGAAUUAGGAGGUUAGGCAGGAGUAGGAUCAAAGACUUAGAAAAUGCUUGUUUCCUCCUAUUAUUCUUAUGAGAGCUGAUACGGGGCUUUCAGUUUUGGGGGAGAGCCUUGGAAGAGAAUGAGGGAAUUUAAUCAACUAGCGGGACCUUUCCAACUUACAUUUCCCAGUGUUUGUUGGAUGAUACGUUUGCCUAAUAAGUUAAAGCUUCCAAAAAUAGAAAGGAAAGCUUGGUGACACUAAGCUCUGGCAUGCUGUCAUCUUCUGGCUAGGGGUCUUGUGCUUCUGUUUUUCUAUUUCUGACCAAAGACAUAAAAUGUGUUGUGACCUCUCAGGUAAUGCUGUGGUAUCAUGUCCAAGCAGUAACUAACCAGAGUGGAGUUUUUACAGGUAAAAAAGUAUUGAAUAGCUCAGCAACAGGGAGGACUUAAUGAUAAAUUGCUUUUUCAGAAAAUGACAAGGGGACAGACACUUGCGGUUCUUCCAUUGAGAGCCUUAAGGAAGUUAAGCGAAGCCUCUGCUCACCCCUUCAAGUAACGAUGACCCAUCAGAUCGUGGUCAUAACCAGUAGCAUCUGAGGCACCCCUAAGCUCUCUGGGCCCCAGAUUCCUUGUUAAGUUAAAUGAGGUGACUUCCCAGUUUACCAUUCUAGGGGUUCCUGAGGAGUUAAAAAUGAAGGAGAAAAUGCAACAUGUACCAAGUGAGCAAGAGCUCAAGGCUUAUCUCUGGCACGAAAGUGACCGCUGUCCGUUAGAGAUGUGAUUGCCCUAGAUUUCCUUUAGGAAAUGCAAACAUUGAACUCUGGCCUUCAGGACCCAAGUCCCGGCUUGCAUCUAUUCUAUACACUUUCUGUUAUUUGUUAGGGCUCACAAGGAACAGUUAUUUAUCUUUUAUUUUCUAUUUUUUUUUUAGAGAUGGAGUCUCACUCUGUCUCCCAGGCUGGAGUGCAGUGGUGCCAUCUCAGCUCACUGCAACCUCCACCUCCCGGGUUCAAGCAAUUCUCCUGUCUCAGCCUCCUGAGUAGCUGGGACUACAGGCGUGUGCCAUCAUGCCCGGCUAAUUUUUAGUAUUUUUAGUAGAGGCAGGGUUUCACCAUAUUGGCCAGGCUGGUCUUGAACUCCUGAUCUCAAGUGAUCUACCCUCCUUGGCCUCCCAAACUGCUGGAAUUACAGAUGUGAGCGACCACACCUGGCCCAUUUGUUUUCUUUCAAACCCUUCUGUAAGACCAGUGCUUUAGGUGAACACGUGGACAGAACAAGAUCAUCACUAUUUUGCAAUAUGAAGACCAACUGCGCUGUGACCAGAAAAACAGAGGCAAAAUGUUGAGCUUAAUGAUACCUUUUUAUAAUUUGUAUUUGGUGUUUCUCAAUUUUCCAUUGGAUAGUUUGAGAGAUAAGUACAAGUCAAUGACAUGUUCUCUUUCGUACCCUAUUGUCUAAUCCUGCUAACACACACACACACACACACACACACACUGAUUACCUAAUUUAUCUGUUCCCCGAUUAUUACACUCUCAAUUGCUGCAGAGUCUCAGAAGCAGCAUGGUGUAACAGAAAGAAUAUGAGGCUUAGAAUCCAAAAGCCAGAGUGUGAAUUCCAGCUCCACUGACUUGCUGCGUGACUUGAAGCAAGUCAUUACGUGUCUCUGUUUACUCAUUUUAUGACUUUCCUAUUGCCUCUGUAAUAUAGCACCACAAACGUGUGGACUUAAAACAACAUGCAUUUAUUCUCUUAGCGUUCUGGAGGUCAGGAGUCUGACAUCAAUUUCGUUGGGCUAAAAUCAAGAUGUUGGUAGGACCAAGAUCCCCGUGGAGGCUCUGGGAGAACCCAUUUCCUUGCCUUUGCCAGCUUCUAAUGCUGCAUUCCUUGCAUUCCUUGAUUGUUGACCUCUUCCCCCAUCUUCAAAGCCAGCAGAACAGCACCUUGUUUCAUUGCCUUCUUUACUGUCAAAUCUCCCUCUGCCUUCUUCUUAUAAGAACACUUGUGGUUGCAUUUAGAAGCUGUGAUAAUCCAGAAUAAUAUCUUUAUCUCAAGAUCUUUGACUUGGUCUCUUCUGCAAAGUCUCUUUUGCCACAGAGGGAAAUAUUCACAGGUCCCAGGGGUCAGGCUGUGUACGUCUUUGGGGGACUUUAUUCUGCCUACCACACUCAUCUUUUUUUUUUUUUUUUUUGGAUGGAGUCUUGCUCUGUCACCCAGGCUGGAGUGCAGUGGCAUGAUCUCGGCUCACUGCAACUUCUGCCUCCCCAGUUCAAGCAAUUCUCCUGCCUCAACCUCCCAAGUAGCUGGAAUUACAGGCGCCUGCCACCACGCCCGGCUACUUUUUGUACUUUUAGUAGAGAUGGGGUUUCACUAUGUUGGCCUGGCUGGUCUUGAACUCCUGACCUCAGGUGAUUCCCCCACCUUGGCCUCCCAAAGUGCUGAGAUUACAGACGUGAGCCACCAUGCCCGGCCCCACACUCAUCUAUUAAGUAGAGCUAGGAAUUCCUAUCCUAAGGGACACAAAAAUGAAAAAAGAUAAAAUUUGUGAAGAGGCACAUAAUGAAAGCCCAUACAUGUCACUGAGUUCAGAGGAGGGUGGGUCUGACCUCCCAUUGGCUGGUCUCUGCCUGAUGGACAUCGUGAAGAAGAGAGCCAGGACUAGUGUGGCUGGGGGAUGUUCAGGGGCCAGAGUGGCUUCAGGUGCCAGCAGCCCUGGCCGAAGGAUGACUCCAGGAGCAAGGCUCAGAGCCGAGUGGAAGAAGCUUCAUAAACGCAACUGAGCCAAGCAUGAUGGGAUGUGCCUGUGGUUCCAGCUACUCAGGAGGCAGGUGGGAGGAUGGCUUGAGUCAGAAGUUCGAGGCUGCAGUGAGCUAUGAUCACACUACUGUACUCCAGCCUGGGUGACAGAAUGACACCCUGUCUCUAAAAAGAAAAGGCACCUGGAUGCUCAUGACCGAGAUGGGGUGGGGUGGGUGGGGUGGGACAGCCGCACUUUAUAACUUUGCUUUCAGCAUGAUGUGGAUUAGUGUCUCCCAUGUGGGAAAAUUAUGUUUACCACUUAGAGACCUGAUAGUGCUUGCUUACCCCAUAACGCUGGACGGUGGCAGGCUUAACUCCCCCAUCAAGGGCCUUAAUGUAUUUGGGGCCCUAGUCCUAGCAACAGCAGCAAAUCUCCUUUUUCUUUUCCUCGAGCUGGUUGUUCACCAGGCAGUUGGGAUGUUAAUGGGAAGAGAAGACACACACAAGUCCCUUGUUUUCAAUAAGGCAGUCUGGUCACGUCCUUAGCAGGUUAUUAAUCUUUUUCAAACCCCUCCUCUCCACCAAGUUUUAUGAUCCUGGGAAGGAGAUUCCUACCUAGCAUCCUUAGAGUUAUCGGGGGUUAGGAUCGGUGCAUGCAGUCACUUCCGUGGAAUCAUCAGUAGCCCUCCAGCCUCUGGGGAGAGCUGCCAGUGGUCAGAGAUGUUGGGAAUUACGAGGGAGGAGCUAGGGAGAAGGAACUCACAGUCCCUCAGUCUCUGAAGGUGGCUCCUGGCAGGAGAGGGGGCCAGUCCUAGAUAAGAGCUCUCCCAGGGAAUUCCAAGGGUCCUCCCAAGGUCCAGCCACAAGAUGAGGAAUUACUGUUGGGCUCUUCCUCAGAUGUGCCUGUGAAUUCAUAUCACAGAUGCUUGAUGCAUUUGACAAUUGUUUAAUUGCUUGAGCCCAACUGAUACUCUUUCAGUCACUUUAAGGGAGUGAUUUCAAGUAUGAUCAUUGCCUCAAAUCUGUAUGGCUUUCCUUGCCUUUCAGGUGCUUUAAGAGGGCUUAUGUUCUUUGACUCCCCUAGUAACUCAAAAGGGUGGCUAAGAUGCAACUCUGGAGGUUUCCAAGCUCUCUGCAAAGCCUGCCUUCAGUAGUCUGUGCACCACAAGAAGCAUAACUUUAUUAUCCUCUAGCUGAAUUUACCUCCUGCUUCGAGCCCCUGUUUUCCCAUGUCAUUUUAGGGGUCCAAUGUUUUUCCUGGAGGCAUAUACACACACACACACACACACACACACACACACACACACACACACACACACACAUAUAUACACACACACAUUCCAGGGGCCUCUGAGGUGCCAAGACAUGUGUGGGGUCCAUCUGGUUCACACUGAUGUCCAUGAUCAUUGAGUUCAUUUUUUAUAUCAACUAUGUGACACUUCCUAUAGUUUCCAGUUCCUGGUUAGAAUUUGCAAAGUUGCCGACUAUUUCUUUGAAUAGAGUAGCUAGAUCAUGGGUCUACACCAGUCAUCAAGCAGCGAUUUCCCUGUUGGAAGCUCCAAGCAAAUUGUCAGCUCCAGCAUUCCACACAGCUGUGGGUGCCACACUCCUUUUCCUUUUAAAAGAUGAUGAUCUGCUAGUGGUGAAUGCUCUUGGAGUUUUAUUUGUAGGUUUUUCUUGUUGUCGCAAAUGUCUAUAUUUCAUCUUCCCUCUUGAGGGAUAUUUUCCAUGGGUAGAGGAUCUAGGCUUUUCUUUUGGAUUCCAUUGUGGCUUUAAAAAAAAGUCAGUUGACUGUUUAUUUAUGGCUUCUCUAAAGGUGAUCUCUUUCUUCCUAAGGCUGCUUUAAAAGUUUCCGUUCCCUCCCUCCCUUCCUCCCACCCCAUCCCCCUUCUUCCUUUCCUUCCUCCCUCCCUUCCUCCCUUCUCUUCCUCCCUUUCUCCCUUGUCUUCCUCCUUUUCUCCCAUCCUCCCUUCCUCCCUCUUUCCUUCUUUUUUCCCUUCCUCCCGCCCUCCUUCCUUCUUCCAUCAUUAUAUAUUAAAAUAUUUUCUUUCUUUCUUUUUUUUUUUUGAGAUGGAGUUUCGCUCUUGUUGCCCAGGCUGGAGUGCAACGGUGUGAUCUUGGCUUACUGCAACCUCCACCUCCCUGGUUCAAGCGAUUCACCUGCCUCAGCCUCCCUAGUAGCUGGGAUUACAGGUGCCCGCCACCACACCCAGCUAAUUUUUGUAAUUGUAGUAGAGAUGGGGUUUCACCAUGUGGGCCAGGCUGGUCUUGAACUCCUGAACUCAGGUAAUCCACCCGCCUUGUCCUCCCAAAGUGCUGGAAUUACAGGCAUGAGCCACCACUCCCAGCCUAUUAAAAUAUUUUCUUCUGGGCCUUCCCUCCUUUUACUUCUUUUGAUACCGCCAUCAAAUGCAUGUUAGGUUGACUCACUGUGUACUCUAUUACCCUCUCAUCUGGUUUUUAAUCUUUCUGUCUCCUUAUACUGUAAUCUCAGUGUUUCUUCUGCUUUAAUUUUGGUAUAUGAAUUAUUCAGCUGUGUUCAAAGUGUGGUUAAAGCGACUUAUAUGCUCUUUAAUUUUUAGUUAUUGUACUUUUCACCUCUAGAAGUUCUUCUGUGACACUUCUUAUAGUUUCCAGUUCCUGGUUAGAAUUUGCAAACUUGUUGACUAUUUCUUUGAAAAGAGUAGCUAGAAUUGUUUUAGUCUGUGUAUAGUGAGUUGAAUAUCUGAAACCUCUGUGAGUCUGUUUCUUUUGUCUGCUAGCCCUACUCAUGGCGUCAUGUUUUCCUGGAUGUUUAGUUGGUUGUCUUUGAAUAUGUCCAACUCCAGUUAUUUCUGGGAAUACCCAAAGGCACACCUGUUCACUAUCACCCAGUGAACUGCCAUGUGUUUGUCUCCUGUCAUGGUAACAUUUGCAUUCAGGGAGAGGCCUCUGCUCUCUGCAGAACAGUGUGAAAUCACCUCAUUUUUGCCUUCAAUGAAGGUUGUCUCUUGCUGGUCACCACCACUUCCUCAAAUGACUAAUGCCACUCUUGCUCACAGUGCUAAGGCGCUAAGGAGUUUUCAGAGGGCUAGAGUGAUUCUGCAUCCUCUGGGGUUCUCAGGAAACGAGGCCACAGGGCCAUCUGUGCAUGAGUGACAGUGGGGUGGGGUGGAUGAGCAGUGGCAGUGGUGGGCACCUAUGCUGCUGGCGCCACAGCUUUUUAUAUCUUGGUGAAAACAACGCCUUGCGUUUUCACUUGUAGAUUCUCCGGCUACAUUCCACAAGAACAAAUUCUGGUCACAGAGGCCAGAGUAGACUAUCAGUGUAAUGGCCCUUCCCCUUUGAUGAUAGCAGCUUUUUUCGGGGGAGCAGGGGUGGCCAAACUUCCUAGCCUUAUUUUAUCUUCCUUUCUAGUUCUCCCCAGAGGCUGCUGGGUCCACCUCUCCCUCUGCCAGACAGACAGGCUCAGACAUGCAAGAACGGAAGGGGGUGUGGGGGUUGGUGGGAGGAUUAAGUUGGGGAAAGCCAGUCUUGUCUUUGUAGAUUACCAGAACUGACACACGUACACACACGUACACUCACUCACUCACUCACUCAUCUAUUCAUCUAUUUUUGGCCUAAGUGCCUUUGGACACUUCUUCGGAAAAGCACAUGAACUCUUCGGAGUCUCCUGUUCCACUUGGUAAAUUUCCUAUAGCCACGCACUGAAAGUCCCUGCUGCCCUCCUUCCUCUGAGCUUGUGGGGCCCACAGAUCCCCUGCUCCACUUCCUGCUUCAUUUCAGCUGAUGGAUGACACUCCCUCGUUCUAAUACCAUCUGAAUGCCUGAGCAAUUACAUCUUACAACCUCAUGAAAAACACAGCAGCUUGUCACGAUGAAUGAUGUUACCGUGAAUAAUGCAGUUUUGAGUUCAAACUCCUUCUUAUUCCAAGAAUGAGUAAAUAUCCCUAUUCCCUCCCCUCCCCAUUGCAUUUGGGUUUGACAUGACAUGAAUCAUUGUGGUUUUACUCCUGGGUAGAAUUGUUUUUCUGUAUUGCAUUGCCAAUUGAUGGAAGGACAAAAAAAGGAAACUUACCAAUGAGCAGUUUCAGAUGAACUUAAAUUCUCAGAAAUCUUGAAGAAUGAAUGAACUAUAACUUUCUGAAGUUGCAAAAAUGUUCAAGUCGGAAGUGACCCAUGGGAAGCAACCUGGUCCUUAAUUAGGACUGGAAAGAAAACGGAGGCCCAGCGAGGGAACAGUGGCUUCCCCAAGGUCACACUGCAAGUGAGUGGUGGCACUAGUCACCCAGGAGUCCUCCUGACUCCAUGGUAUCCUGACCCCAGACCAGCAGCCUUAUUUGUGGUUAAAGAACGUGGAAAAACAGCUUAUGUUUGAAUUUUAAAAUCAUGCCAGUACUAAAGAUCUGCAUUCCAUGAAUAUUGAGCUUUGCUGUGUGCGGGUUGCUACGAAUUUUGUAACUAUUUUCUCUAAGAGCUCUCAGUAUUUUACAUAUACAAUUCCAUUCUUUAUUGUCCAGGGAAAAAGUUGCAUUUACUGAGCAGUAAGAGGGUGAUUUGAAGUCCCUGGGGUCCCCCACCCUUGUCUUUCUAUGUGAGAUUGUAUUGCAGGGCUCACAUUUAUUCUCUCAGCAGCUCAUUGCACAGACAGUGUAUUUAUUGAGCACCUACUGUGUGCCAGGAGCUAUGUGGUAAGCUAAGCAGACAAAAACUCCUGCUCUCACAAGAAGAAAGAAUAAACAAGCAGACAAUUGCACCUAUAAUGUCAGCCUGGUGUGAUGGCUCACUCCUGGAAUCCUAGCACUUUGGGAGGUGACGAUGGGAGGAUUGCUUUAACUCGGGAGUUCAAGAUAAGCCUGGGCAACCAAGACCCUGUCUCUACAAAAAAAUCAAAAAAUUAGCUGGGGGUGAUGGCAUGAGUCUCUGGUCCCUCGGGACCAGAGGCCUCGGGAGGCUGAGGCGGGUUUAUCACUUGAGCCUGGGAGGUUGAGGCUGCAGUGAGCUGUGAUCACACCACUGCACUCCAGCCUGGGCCACAGAGCGAGACCCUGUCUCUAAAUAAACAAACAACCUAAUGUCAAGUUAGGAAGUGUGGCAAAAAGGAACAAAGUCAGGGUGACUGCCAUUCUAGAAAGGGUGGUGAGGGAAGGUCUCCUUGAGCAGAUCCUGUGGGAGUGGAAGGGUAAGUCACGAGACUCUCUGGAGGAAGAAGAUUCCAGGUGGAAAUGCCUUAGUGGGUGUUAAACGCUUUAACGGGUGUUAGCCAGAAAGCCAGAAUGGCUGGAGCUGAGGGAGUAGAGGAGGCGGCAUAGAAAAUGAGGUCAGAGAUGGAGGCAGGGCCGGAUCACAGAGGGGCACAGAGAACGAGGAGGGAAUUGGAUUUUUGGAAAAGAUUGUGGCAAAAUACAAAAUAUAAAAUACAAAAAUAAAAUAUAAACCAUAAAAUGUACUACCUUUACCAUUUUAAGUAUGCAGUUCAGUAGUGUUAAAUACAUUUACAUCAUUGUUCAACCCGUCUCCAGAACUCUCUGCAUCUUGCAAAAUUAAAACUCUAUGCCAUUUCAACAGUUCGCAUUUCCUCUUCCCUCUCGUUCAUGGCAACCGCCAUUUUUCUUUCUGUCUCUGUAAAUGUUAGUACUUGGGGUAUCUCAUCUAAGUGGAAUCACACAGUGUGUGUCCUUUUGUGACAGACUUAUUUCACUUUGCAUAAUGUCCUUAAUAUUCAUCCAUGUUGUAGCAUGUGUCAGAUUUUCCUUCCUUCUUAACAUUGUGUAAUAUUCCAUUGUACGCAUAGACUACAUUUAGCUUAUCUGUUCACCUGUGGAUGGACACUUGGGUUGCUAUAGUGAAUAAUAUUGCUGUAAAUAUGGGUAUACGAUUAUCUCUUUGUGACCCUGCUUUUAAUUGUUUUGGAUAUAUACCCAGAAAUGGAAUUACUGAAUCAUGUGGAGAUUCUGUUUUUGAUUUAUUUAUUUAUUUUUAAUUUUUGAGAUGGAGUCUCGUUCUGUCACCCAGGCUGGAGUGCAGUGACACGAUCUCUGCUCACUGCAACCUCUGCCUCCUUGCACCAUUAAUUCUGAAAAUGCAGGCCUGGAUCCAACCGCCUUUGGGGACGGGUACCUGCCCACAGGAAGAGGUUGAGGAGACAAUAAUGUCACGAGAAUCAUCAUCUUUGACUGGGAAAUGGUGUGCAGAGUUUCUGGUGCCUUCUGAAGUGAUUGUCGCAUCUCAGCCUCCCUAGUAGCUGGGAUUACAGGCAUUUGCCACCAAGCCCGGCUAAUUUUUGUAUUUUUAGUAGAGACGGGGUUUCAUCAUGUUGGCCAGGCUGGUCUCAAACUCCUGACCUCAGGUGAUCCACCUGCCUCAGCCUCCCAAAGUGCUGGGAUUAUAGGUGUGAGCCAUGCACCUGGCCUGAUUGGUUAUUUAAAUUCUGAGAUGGGGUAUACUAAUGUUUGAAAACCACAGGGAUGGGAUAGGUAUAGGUGGGGAGGGAGAGCAAAAGUGGUAUUUAGAAUAUGUUACGUUUGAAAAACCUAAUACACAUUCUACAUCCAAGUGGACAUAGAUGGAGUUAUUUGA